UAAAUACCUGAUAACCAAAUUGAGAGAUGAGUAACUAAGUUGAGUAAUUACGUAAAUUCUGCUGAUGCAAUAGUCAGUACUAUAAACGGUUAUCAAUAUCAGGGUUCACAAUCUCGAUCCAAAAAAUUGGGUCUACCGGUGAAAUAGUCAUCAAUCAGGCAACAAUCAUUGGGAUCAUUAGAGCAGCUAAUUAACACAAGAACAUUCCAUGGUAUUCUUUGAGCGAGGUUUCAAGAUCGUGUUGCUCGUCAACACCCAUGGCGUCGUCUUUGGGAAGAACUUGCUGGAGUACAGCACGCAGGAUCGCCGUCGUCCCAUUGCUGUUCUCCGGCGAGCUAGCGACGGUGACCCAAGCACGGCAGGGGAAUCUGUCCUUUGCGCGAGGAUCGUCGUAGACCGCCUUCGCGAGGGUGGUCUUCCCGGAGCCGCCGAACCCGACGACG
Oryza brachyantha (malo sina) is the source of this 443-nucleotide long non-coding RNA. RefSeq lists it as uncharacterized. The transcript has 3 exons. The record is from RefSeq and is a predicted model, not a curated record. Lineage: Eukaryota; Viridiplantae; Streptophyta; Magnoliopsida; Poales; Poaceae.